UUUAAAGUCAAGCCUGCCCAAUGAUAUUAUUUUAAAUGGCUGCAGUAUUUUAACUGUACAAAGGUAGCAUAAUCAUUAGUUUUUUUAUUGAAAGCUGGAAUGAAAGGUUUGAUAAAAAAUAAAUUGUCUCUAUUUUAAAAUUAUAAUUUUAUAUUUAAGUAAGAAAGCUUAAAUUUUAUAAAAAGACGAGAAGACCCUAUAGAGUUUUAUUUUAAUUUUAUUUAUAGAUUUUAUUUAAGAUUUUUAGAUAAAAUAAAUUUUUAUUGGGGUGAUAGUAAAAUUUAAAAAACUUUUAAUAUUAAAAACAUUAAUUAAUGAGUAAUUGAUCCUAAAUUUUAGAUUAAAAGAAAAAAUUACCUUAGGGAUAACAGCGUAAUUUUUUUUAAAGUUCUUAUUAAAUAAAAAGAUUGCGACCUCGAUGUUGGAUUAAAAUUAAAAUUUGGUGUAGAAGCUAAAUAUUUAAGUCUGUUCGACUUUUAAAAUUUUACA
This 489-nucleotide ribosomal RNA is filed under the name Anisoxya fuscula. RNAcentral's name for it is "partial 16S ribosomal RNA". The record is from RNAcentral. Lineage: Eukaryota; Metazoa; Arthropoda; Insecta; Coleoptera; Melandryidae.